This 391-nucleotide ribosomal RNA is filed under the name Chrysophyceae sp. RNAcentral's name for it is "partial small subunit ribosomal RNA". It matches the Rfam family "Eukaryotic small subunit ribosomal RNA", at positions 582 to 975 of the family's 1831-position model. Lineage: Eukaryota; Chrysophyceae. The record is from RNAcentral.
AUUCCAGCUCCAAUAGCGUAUACUAAAGUUGUUGCAGUUAAAAAGCUCGUAGUUGAAUUUCUGGUCGUGGCGACCGGUCCGCCCCUCACGGGGUGUGCACCUGGUCUCUGCGUCCAUCCUCGGGGAGAGCGUAUCUGGCAUUCAGUUGUCGGGUGCGGGAUCCUCGUCAUUUACUGUGAGCAAAAUAGAGUGUUCAAAGCAGGCUUAGGCCGUUGAAUACAUUAGCAUGGAAUAAUAAGAUAGGACCUUGGUCUAUUUUGUUGGUUUGCAUUCCAAGGUAAUGAUUAAUAGGGAUAGUUGGGGGUAUUCGUAUUCAAUUGUCAGAGGUGAAAUUCUUGGAUUUAUGGAAGACGAACUACUGCGAAAGCAUUUACCAAGGAUGUUUUCAUUG